AUUGAACGCUGGCGGCAGGCCUAACACAUGCAAGUCGAGCGGAUGAAGGGAGCUUGCUCCUGGAUUCAGCGGCGGACGGGUGAGUAAUGCCUAGGAAUCUGCCUGGUAGUGGGGGAUAACGUCCGGAAACGGGCGCUAAUACCGCAUACGUCCUGAGGGAGAAAGUGGGGGAUCUUCGGACCUCACGCUAUCAGAUGAGCCUAGGUCGGAUUAGCUAGUUGGUGGGGUAAAGGCCUACCAAGGCGACGAUCCGUAACUGGUCUGAGAGGAUGACCAGUCACACUGGAACUGAGACACGGUCCAGACUCCUACGGGAGGCAGCAGUGGGGAAUAUUGGACAAUGGGCGAAAGCCUGAUCCAGCCAUGCCGCGUGUGUGAAGAGGGUCUUCGGAUUGUAAAGCACUUUAAGUUGGGAGGAAGGGCAGUAAGUUAAUACCUUGCUGUUUUGACGUUACCAACAGAAUAAGCACCGGCUAACUUCGUG
Molecule: ribosomal RNA, 484 nt
Filed under: uncultured bacterium
Lineage: Bacteria
Description: partial 16S ribosomal RNA
Rfam family: Bacterial small subunit ribosomal RNA
Source: RNAcentral